AACGAACGCUGGCGGCAUGCCUAACACAUGCAAGUCGAACGAGACCUUCGGGUCUAGUGGCGCACGUGUGCGUAACGCGUGGGAACCUGCCCUUAGGUUCGGAAUAACUCCCCGAAAGGGGUGCUAAUACCGGAUAAUGUCUUCGGACCAAAGAUUUAUCGCCUUUGGAUGGUCCCGCGUUGGAUUAGCUAGUUGGUAGGGUAAAAGCCUACCAAGGCGACGAUCCAUAGCUGGUCUGAGAGGAUGAUCAGCCACACUGGGACUGAGACACGGCCCAGACUACUACGGGAGGCAGCGGUGGGGAAUAUUGGAGAAUGGGCGCAAGCGUGAUCCAGCAAUGCCGCGUGAGAGAUGAAGGCCUUAGGGUUGUAAAGCUGUUUUACCCGGGAUGAUAAUGACAGUACCGGGAGAAUAAGCUCCGGCUAACUCCGUG
RNAcentral lists this ribosomal RNA (433 nucleotides) under uncultured bacterium. Its description in RNAcentral is "partial 16S ribosomal RNA". It matches the Rfam family "Bacterial small subunit ribosomal RNA", at positions 29 to 507 of the family's 1533-position model. The record is from RNAcentral.